ACGGGGGAGAGACACAGCGGACAGAGGAGAGACAGGUGAGAUGGAGGGGGGGACGGGGGAGAGAUGGGAGAGAGAGGUGAGACAUGGUGUAAUUUGUGUGUAGCUGCUGAUACAUGAUGAUGAACUAAAUGCUGCAGUUACACCCAGAGGACACCAGAGGGAGCCACCACACUACUGCUGCUGAUGCUGGUUAUACUGGUUUCACACCUGCAGUUAUACUGGUGGUACUGAUUUUAUUAGGUUGUAUACUGGUAGUACUGGUUUUAUUAGGUGGUAUACUGGUAGUACUGGUUUUAUUAGGUGUUAUACUGGUGGUACUGGUUUUAUUAGGUGGUAUACUGGUAGUACUGGUUUUAUUAGGUGGUAUACUGGUAGUACUGGUUUUAUUAGGUGUUAUACUGGUGGUACUGGUUUUAUUAGGUGGUAUACUGGUAGUACUGGUUUUAUUAGGUGGUAUACUGGUAGUACUGGUUUUAUUAGGUGUUAUACUGGUGGUACUGGUUUUAUUAGGUGUUAUACUGGUGGUACUGGUUUUAUUAGGUGGUAUACUGGUAGUACUGGUUUUAUUAGGUGGUAUACUGGUAGUACUGGUUUUAUUAGGUGUUAUACUGGUGGUACUGGUUUUAUUAGGUGGUAUACUGGUAGUACUGGUUUUAUUAGGUGGUAUACUGGUAGUACUGGUUUUAUUAGGUGUUAUACUGGUGGUACUGGUUUUAUUGGGUGUUAGUUAUACUGGUGGUACUGGUUAAACUGGAGUACAGCUGGUCUACAGUGUGUUUCCUCGGCUGAUUCUGAUUGGCUCCUGAAACUACUGAGUCAUGAUUCUGAUGUUGAAGCCUUUCUGCUCCAGUUGUUCCCCAGCUCAGUGUGUACUGAGUUUGUAUUAUGUGUGUUCUAUGUGUGUACUGUGUGUACAGUGUGUACUAUGUGUGUACAGAGUGUGUUCUAUGUGUGUUCUGUGUGUACAGAGUGUGUACUGUGUGUGUUCUAUGUGUGUAGUGUGUGUGUACAGAGAGUGUACUAUGUGUAUUCUAUGCGUACUGUGUGUACUGUGUGUGUACUAUGUGUGUACUGUGUGUAUUGUGUGUACUGUGUGUGUACUGUGUGUAUUGUGUGUACUGUGUGUGUACUAUGUGUGUACUGUGUGUAUUGUGUGUACUGUGUGUGUACUGUGUGUAUUGUGUGUACUAUGUGUGUACUGUGUGUAUUCUAUGUGUGUACUGUGUGUAUUCUAUGUGUGUACUGUGUGUCUGUGGAUCUUUUUCCACAGCAGAGUGAAAGCUGAGUCAGCUUCAUCUCCAGCUGCCACUCAUACACACAAAUAGAAUAUUAAUACACACAAAUGUAGUGCUGAAAUACAUAAACAAGGUACUAAUACACAUAAACACAGUAUUAAUACUUACAAAAGGUGUUAAUUCCUCUAAACAAAGUACAAAUACAUCUUUACACAUACCAGUACUCCUAAACAUAAGUACACAGUACUAGUAAGUAUAAACACAUUAUAAACGUGUAAAUGCAGUACUAUUACUUCUAAACAGCAGCACCCAGAACUGAUACAGAAUCAAUAUAUCAAUAAACUGAUUGAUGUCACAGAAACGGACUGAUCAGAGUCAAUGUUCAGACUUCAACUCUAGAAACAGAAGAACCAAUAGAAACGCUAGAACAGGAGCUUCUAGAGGAGCUUCUGGAGGAGGUUCUUUAGAUUCUAGAGGAGGUUCUUUAGAUUCUAGAGGAGGUUCUAGAGGACGUUCUUUAGAUUCUAGAGGAGGUUCUAGAGGAGGUUUUAGAGGAGGUGUUAAGGAGCUUCUAGAGGAGUUUCUAUAGGUUCUAGAGUAGUUUGUAGAGGUUCUAGAUGAUCUUCUAUAGGUUAUGAUGAUCUUAUAGGUUCCGAUGAUCUUUUAUAGGUUCUAGUGGAGCUCCCUGAACCAUGGAUCAGCUCAGAGAUCAGACAGUGAUGAACAGCAUCGUUGCAGUGACUGGAAGUCACAUUAGUUACAAACCCUCAGCCUCAGGCAUCUCACCGAGUCUCAGCUCACAUCUAAACACUGCUGCUAACACUGUAGCUAAUGCUGCUGCUAACACUGCCACUACUACUGCUGCUGC
This is a long non-coding RNA of Acanthochromis polyacanthus (spiny chromis), 2103 nucleotides long. RefSeq lists it as uncharacterized. The record is from RefSeq and is a predicted model, not a curated record. The transcript has 7 exons. NCBI's taxonomy places the organism in Eukaryota, Metazoa, Chordata, Actinopteri, Pomacentridae.